AAUAGAUACCCUGGUAGUCCACGCCCUAAACGAUGUCUACUAGUUGUCGGGUCUUAAUUGACUUGGUAACGCAGCUAACGCGUGAAGUAGACCGCCUGGGGAGUACGGUCGCAAGAUUAAAACUCAAAGGAAUUGACGGGGACCCGCACAAGCGGUGGAUGAUGUGGAUUAAUUCGAUGCAACGCGAAAAACCUUACCUACCCUUGACAUGUCAGGAACCUCCGAGAGAUUGGAGGGUGCCCGAAAGGGAGCCUGAACACAGGUGCUGCAUGGCUGUCGUCAGCUCGUGUCGUGAGAUGUUGGGUUAAGUCCCGCAACGAGCGCAACCCUUGUCAUUAGUUGCUACGAAAGGGCACUCUAAUGAGACUGCCGGUGACAAACCGGAGGAAGGUGGGGAUGACGUCAAGUCCUCAUGGCCCUUAUGGGUAGGGCUUCACACGUCAUACAAUGGUACAUACAGAGGGCCGCCAACCCGGCGAGGGGGAGCUAAUCCCAGAAAGUGUAUCGUAGUCCGGAUCGCAGUCUGCAA
This 529-nucleotide ribosomal RNA is filed under the name uncultured bacterium. RNAcentral's name for it is "bacterial SSU rRNA". It matches the Rfam family "Bacterial small subunit ribosomal RNA", at positions 777 to 1310 of the family's 1533-position model. The record is from RNAcentral.